GACGAACGCUGGCGGCGUGCUUAACACAUGCAAGUCGAACGGUGAAGGGACUGGUUUUGCUGGUCCUGGAUGAGUGGCGAACGGGUGAGUAACACGUGAGUAACCUGCCCCCUUCUUCUGGAUAACCGCAUGAAAGUGUGGCUAAUACGGGAUAUUCUGGGUCUGUCGCAUGGUGGGCCUGGGAAAGAUUGCGCCUUUUUUGGUGUUUUUGGUGGGGGAUGGGCUCGCGGCCUAUCAGCUUGUUGGUGGGGGGAUGGCCUACCAAGGCGGUGACGGGUAGCCGGCCUGAGAGGGUGGACGGUCACACUGGGACUGAGACACGGCCCAGACUCCUACGGGAGGCAGCAGUGGGGAAUAUUGCACAAUGGGCGCAAGCCUGAUGCAGCGACGCCGCGUGAGGGAUGGAGGCCUUCGGGUUGUGAACCUCUUUCGCCAGUGAAGCAGGCCUGCCUCUUUUUGUGGGUGGGUUGACGGUAGCUGGAUAAGAAGCGCCGGCUAACUACGUG
Molecule: ribosomal RNA, 506 nt
Filed under: uncultured bacterium
Lineage: Bacteria
Description: partial 16S ribosomal RNA
Rfam family: Bacterial small subunit ribosomal RNA
Source: RNAcentral